RNAcentral lists this ribosomal RNA (253 nucleotides) under uncultured bacterium. RNAcentral's name for it is "partial 16S ribosomal RNA". It matches the Rfam family "Bacterial small subunit ribosomal RNA", at positions 524 to 776 of the family's 1533-position model. The record is from RNAcentral.
UACGGAGGGGGCUAGCGUUGUUCGGAAUUACUGGGCGUAAAGCGCGCGUAGGCGGACCUGCAAGUCGGGGGGGAAAGCCCGAGGCUCAACCUCGGAACUGCCUUCGAUACUGCGGGUCUCGAGUCCGGGAGAGGUGAGUGGAAUUCCUAGUGUAGAGGUGAAAUUCGUAGAUAUUAGGAAGAACACCGGUGGCGAAGGCGGGUCUCUGGGCAACAACUGACGCUGAGGAGCGAAAGCGUGGGGAGCGAACAGG